RNAcentral lists this ribosomal RNA (253 nucleotides) under uncultured bacterium. Its description in RNAcentral is "partial 16S ribosomal RNA". It matches the Rfam family "Bacterial small subunit ribosomal RNA", at positions 524 to 776 of the family's 1533-position model. The record is from RNAcentral.
GACGAAGGGGGCUAGCGUUGUUCGGAAUUACUGGGCGUAAAGCGCGUGUAGGCGGUUGUCCAAGUUGGAUGUGAAAGCCUUGAGCUCAACUCAAGAAAUGCAUUCAGGACUGGAUGACUAGAGGACCGGAGAGGAUAGUGGAAUUCCCAGUGUAGUGGUGAAAUACGUAGAGAUUGGGAAGAACACCAGUGGCGAAGGCGGCUAUCUGGACGGUUUCUGACGCUAAGACGCGAAAGCGUGGGGAGCAAACGGG